RNAcentral lists this ribosomal RNA (305 nucleotides) under uncultured bacterium. Its description in RNAcentral is "bacterial SSU rRNA". It matches the Rfam family "Bacterial small subunit ribosomal RNA", at positions 334 to 637 of the family's 1533-position model. The record is from RNAcentral.
CGUGCCUAGGGGGGCAGCAGUGAGGAAUAUUGGUCAAUGGACGCAAGUCUGAACCAGCCCUGCCGCGUGCAGGAUGACGGCUCUAUGAGUUGUAAACUGCUUUUGUACGAGGGUAACCCCCGAUACGUGUAUCGGGUUGAAAGUAUCGUACGAAUAAGGAUCGGCUAACUCCGUGCCAGCAGCCGCGGUAAUACGGAGGAUCCGAGCGUUAUCCGGAUUUAUUGGGUUUAAAGGGUGCGUAGGCGGUUUGAUACGUUAGAGGUGAAAUGUCGGGGCCCAACCCCGAAACUGCCUCUAAUACCGUU